AUUGAACGCUGGCGGCAUGCCUUACACAUGCAAGUCGAACGGCAGCACGGGAGCAAUCCUGGUGGCGAGUGGCGAACGGGUGAGUAAUAUAUCGGAUCGUGCCCAGUCGUGGGGGAUAACGCAGGGAAAGCUGUGCUAAUACCGCAUACGAUAUAAGGAUGAAAGCGGGGGAUCGCAAGACCUCGCGCGAAUGGUGCGGCAGAUAUCAGAUUAGCUAGUUGGGGGGGUAAAGGCCCACCAAGGCGACGAUCUGUAGGAGGUCUGAGAGGACGACCAGCAACAGUGGAAAUGAGACACGGUCCAGACUCCGGCGGGAGGCAGCAGUGGGAAAUUUUGGACAAUGGGCGCAAGGCUGAUCCAGCAAUGCCGCGUGCAGGAGGAAGACCUUCGGGUUGUAAACUGCUUUUGUACGGAACGAAACGGCCCUUUCUAAUACAGGGGGCUAAUGACGGUACCGUAAGAAUAAGCACCGGCUAACUACGUGCCAGCCGCCGCAGUAA
RNAcentral lists this ribosomal RNA (500 nucleotides) under uncultured bacterium. RNAcentral describes it as "partial 16S ribosomal RNA". It matches the Rfam family "Bacterial small subunit ribosomal RNA", at positions 29 to 523 of the family's 1533-position model. The record is from RNAcentral.